This 234-nucleotide ribosomal RNA is filed under the name uncultured bacterium. RNAcentral describes it as "partial 16S ribosomal RNA". It matches the Rfam family "Bacterial small subunit ribosomal RNA", at positions 524 to 756 of the family's 1533-position model. The record is from RNAcentral.
UACGUAGGGUGCAAGCGUUGUCCGGAAUUAUUGGGCGUAAAGAGCUCGUAGGCGGUCUGUCGCGUCUGCUGUGAAAACUCAGGGCUUAACCCUGAGCUUGCAGUGGGUACGGGCAGACUAGAGUGCGGUAGGGGAGACUGGAAUUCCUGGUGUAGCGGUGAAAUGCGCAGAUAUCAGGAGGAACACCGGUGGCGAAGGCGGGUCUCUGGGCCGUAACUGACGCUGGAGACGCGA